UACGUAGGGUGCAAGCGUUAAUCGGAAUUACUGGGCGUAAAGCGUGCGCAGGCGGUUAUGUAAGACAGGUGUGAAAUCCCGGGCUUAACCUGGGAACUGCAUUUGUGACUGCAUAGCUAGAGUACGGUAGAGGGGGAUGGAAUUCCGCGUGUAGCAGUGAAAUGCGUAGAUAUGCGGAGGAACACCGAUGGCGAAGGCAAUCCCCUGGACCUGUACUGACGCUCAUGCACGAAAGCGUGGGGAGCAAACAGG
Molecule: ribosomal RNA, 252 nt
Filed under: uncultured bacterium
Lineage: Bacteria
Description: partial 16S ribosomal RNA
Rfam family: Bacterial small subunit ribosomal RNA
Source: RNAcentral